This is a non-coding RNA of Paramuricea clavata, 75 nucleotides long. Lineage: Eukaryota; Metazoa; Cnidaria; Anthozoa; Malacalcyonacea; Plexauridae. The record is from the annotation of a GenBank genome assembly.
GACCGCGUAGCUCAGUUGGCAGAGCAUUUGGGCUACUGAUUCCAAAGGUCGUAGGUUCGAUUCCCACCGUGGCCA